AGGAGCAGCAGGAAGCAGGAGGUGAAGGUGGGGAGGAAUAAUGAGGAUCCACCAGAACCAGAACCACAGACCAGCCUGAAUAAUCCAAACCAAACGCAGUGAGACUCAGAUGCAGAACAAACUGCAGAUGUGGACUCUCCUAUCGGCCUGCAGGGAUCUGUCCAUCCGUCCGUCCGUCUGUCUGUCCUCCUCAGGUUUUCUGUGGAUUUGCUCUGAAUUUCCAUCUUUGGCUCGUCUGAAAGUGUCUUAAUGAUCAGGAGAAAGUCUCUCAUUCAGGACCGAGCCGUCGUCUUUGACUCUGAAAAAUGUAAAUUCAUUCCAGAGGACUUCAUUUGGUUGGCUCUCCUCUCCCGUUCGCCUCAGGCGCGGUCGAGCUGCAGUCUUGGAAAACUUUGGAAGAUGUUUUCCAGAUCCGGAGUUUCAGUCUUCGUUCGUCUCUGGGGCGAAAAGUUUUCAGGAACUUUUUAACUUGGAUCAGAGGAGAAACUGAUGAGAAAAUGAAACGUUUCUCUGGAGUUAAAACACGUCGACGGUCUGAAAGGAACAUGGCUGUUUGGUUCCUUUGGAUCGGCAGACGGAGCAGCUGAAACGGUGCGGCUGUUUCUGAUUUUCUGAAGCCUCCUGGAGGAAAGAGAAGCAGCAAAACGACAGACAGACGCGUCUGGCGUUCUGAUUGGCUGAGACUGGCUGACAUAAUGCUGCCAUCACCUGAUCGUUCUCCUGCUGACCUCCUUCAAUCUAACAUAGAAACGUCUCUGGUUCAGUUCUUCUGCUUCUGCUCUGUCUUCUCAAACCUGCAGAUGGUACUGAGCCAGGUUCUGGUUCUGGUUCUGCUGGAGCUUUCUUCCUGUUAAAGAGAUUAUUCUGGAGAAAGAAAAUGUCGCCAACAGAAGAAUGACCGGAAACACGUCGAGGUUUCUGGACGGGUUCAAAACAGCACAAAGAGGAAAAGAUGAGGCUCAAAGCUCAACAACUCGUCCAUAAAAACACAAAGACUCCAAAGCGACUCUGAGGAGAAGACAGUUUGUUCCUGCAGCUGGAUUCGGGUAGAAGCAGCUGAAUGGCGUCGCUUCACCUGGACUCUCGAUCAGAAGAGCAAAUGAAGACAUGAUGGGAUGAGAAACCAGGAGGAAGUGAUGCAGAGAGAGAAAGGCUGUGAUUGGCUGACCGUCGCCCCGUUCCUGUAGUUAAAUGAAAGCAGAAAAGAUGUAAAACAAUCUGUCUGAAGCUCUGCAAUCAAACUUUCACUGCAGCUGUUAUUACUCUAUUAUCUGAGAGAGUGGACGGUUUCACAGCCCGAAAUUACUCCGGUUUUAGAGCGAAGUGUGUCUCUGGUUUUACAGGAAGUGACUUCCUGUGUUCGUUACGCUCCCACUAAUUACCUGUCACUCCUGUUUGUUAGAAUCACUGUCAUUUUCAUUCAGAAUGGAUGACGGCUGUCAGAUUAGUCGCCGACUUCCAGCAACGCGAUACUAAGAAUAAAGCAGAUUAGCAUGUCUGCUGAACAGCAGAAUCUCCUGAAACCUGAGCGGAUCAGAGAACAUCGACGCUGAUCAGGUAAAAAAAGCUACAUGCUAAAAACUGAACCAAAACGUUAUGGCAGUUCAUCUUCCAUCAAGGUUUAUAUAUUUGCAUUUUGAGCUAUUGCGUUAGAAAAAGCUUUGAACCUGAGAUGUUCACAGGAAACGGUGAAAAGGGCGGGGCGAGUAACGGAAACACGUAAGUCACGUUAUUGCUUGGAUUUUAAUCGGUGCGUUUUGCAUCCAAUGAAAACAAACAUGUUAAAUAAACUGGACAGUUUGCUGUAAGUUUAGUGAUAUUUCCACAGUUGUGGUCUUGAAAUAAAGUCCUGAGUCCUCAGCGCCCGAUUCCAAGACUCGAAACCAAGACCGGUCUCGAUUACUACACUGAAUGACAGUCUAGAAACGCAGACAUAGAGACGAACAUUUUCCUAAAAAAUCUGACAUUUAAAGUAGAACUAAACCAAAAGCAGCUGCUUUCACUGAUAAACUGUUUAAACAGAUCAUUUAUGGUUCUAUCUUUAAGUUUUAGUGAGAAUUUUGACAUUUUUGUGUAAAUUUGCUCAGUUUGGUCAUUUAAACCUAAAACUGUCUCAGUGCUGCCCUCUUUGGGUCAAACGGUGCAGUGACUUCCUGUUUCCUGCAACCAAUCAAGAUCCUGUCUGUCAACACACUGGAAGCUUUGGGCAGAGAUCUAACAAACUCUCAGCAGCGCCCCCUCAGUCUGGGUGGAGAACUGCACCAUCAUGGUUCUGCGUGUUGAGGUAAAUGUGGAUUGAUCAACGUAACGUUAAGUUCAUUCAUUUACUCACUCAUCCUGCUGGGCGUCUGAAUGUGUGUGUGCAUCACGCCACAGUAAUAAUUCAUAAAAAUGUCCGUGGUGUGAUUUUGUUUCCUGUGUGGGUCGGAUCCGGUUAGGUUGCAUUCACACUUUGCUCCUUUU
This is a long non-coding RNA of Xiphophorus maculatus (southern platyfish), 2463 nucleotides long. RefSeq lists it as uncharacterized. The record is from RefSeq and is a predicted model, not a curated record. The transcript has 4 exons. NCBI's taxonomy places the organism in Eukaryota, Metazoa, Chordata, Actinopteri, Cyprinodontiformes, Poeciliidae.